Molecule: transfer RNA, 87 nt
Filed under: soil metagenome
Also listed under: 1 other name
Rfam family: tRNA
About the family: Transfer RNA (tRNA) molecules are approximately 80 nucleotides in length. Their secondary structure includes four short double-helical elements and three loops (D, anti-codon, and T loops).
Source: RNAcentral
GCCGAAGUGGCGGAACAGGCAGACGCGCUACGUUCAGGGCGUAGUGGGCAUUCGCCCGUGGGAGUUCAAAUCUCCCCUUCGGCACCA